This 9498-nucleotide long non-coding RNA is filed under the name Nicotiana benthamiana. Its description in RNAcentral is "long non-coding RNA (NBEN_LNC011215)". Lineage: Eukaryota; Viridiplantae; Streptophyta; Magnoliopsida; Solanales; Solanaceae. The record is from RNAcentral.
UCAAAAUGGUUUCACUGCUUCCCGGCUAACUUUCAAAGAUCAGACUGAGGAUUAUGCGUGCAUGUCAUGUCACUAGAACUAGCAUUAGACAAAAGACAAAACAAAAGGAUAGAAAAACAAAGAAAACACCUGGAAGUAACAAAAGAUCACAUGUUGAAUUAGACAAACGAGAAAACAGUUCGAAUAACAAAACAAGCAAAACAAACUAGAAUACAACCCUAGAAUGAAACUCAAACAAAUCUGGACAACACUAACAAACACCCAAGGACUAAACAAGUUAGACAAAAUGAAAGGAUAAGAGGGUUUGAUUACAAGACAAUAUCUGGAUUAUAACUCUACAAAUUACCCAAACACCAAAAAUGACAACAAAAAGGACCGCCAAAGCUCCUCCCUGACUGACGUAGGAAUGGAGCGUAUUUCCAAUUACCAAGCACGGCAUCUUAGCCACUGAGUUCUGCAUCACCAACACUAGGAACUUCACAAGUCUUCAUCACAUCGUCCUCAACAAGUUUUUUUGUGUCUCCAAGGCCUUUAGAGAAUUCUCACAUUCUUUUUCCAAAAUAAACCAUACCCACCAUGUCUAUCUCAUUAUACACAAGCGACAGGUUUUUGCUGGUGUCUGUUGCAUCCAGAUAUUUUACGACAAUGUCACCUGAGUCAAUAAGAUUAUGAAUUGCUUUCUUCAGCUUCCAACAUUUUUCCAUGUCAUGCCCCGAAGCAUCAGAGCUAUAUGCGCACUUCAGAAAAAAAUCAGAUUUCUUUGACAGAGGGUUUGGCACUUUUAUCUGAAUCAGCUUCAGCAUGUCCAAUUCCUUCAACUUCUAGAAUAAAUUGGCAUAUUAUUCUCCAAUAGGGGUGAGAGCCUUUUCUCGUUUCAUCAACCUUUCAUUCCUAAAUGCCUGAUUUGGCCUAAAACCUGACCUAGGCGGUUUCCGGUAUGCUCGUAGGGGUGGAUAUGCAUUUUGUAGAGCUGGGUACUUGGACAAUGAGGUACGUGUUUUGGAGUCCCAUGGAGAGAAGUAACAUUGGGAAAGGUCAUCCGGUGCACGAGGAUACUCACGGGUACAAUAUCGAGGUUGGAAAUAUUGAUCGGGAGAGCCCUUUGGAUCAUCGUUUCUGUUUCUGUUUCUCUUUUCUGAGCUUACCGAGAUGUCCUGAAUGUCUUUCGAGCAACUCAUGAUUUUACCUGACUUGAUUCCCUCUUCUACUAGCUCCCCCAUUUUUAACACAUCUUUGAAAGGCUUUCCCAAGGCUGGGAUCAAAUAACUGAAGUAGGUUGGCCCUUAGUCUUGUAUGAAAAGUUCAACCAUCUCUUCUUCACUAAUCGGGGUAUUGAUUCGAUCAGCUUGCUCCCUCCAUCUGAGCCCAAACUCUAUAAAGCUUUCCUUUGGCUUCUUAUCCAUUAUAGAUAGGGAGGAGCGAUCCAGGAUAGCGCCUGAUUUGUAUUGAAUGUAUCGAACAAAAUCUCGAGCCAUGUCAUCCCAAGUAUGCGGCUUAAUAACACUCUGAUGAGUAUGCCAUUCCAAAGAUGCCCCGGUCAGGCUCUCACAAAAAUAUGGCAUUAGCAGUUCAUCUUUCUCGCCAACAUUUCUCAUUUCCUCGCAAUAACUCCUCAGAUGUGCUACUAGAUCUCCAAACCCAUCAUACAAUCUGAAUUUUGGUAAUUUAAACCCCAUGGGUAGGCAAAUGUCAGGAGACACGGACGGUUCUUUCAGCUUCCUGGGUUCCCUUUCAGUCCCUUCUCUUUCUAUGAACCUUUUUAUUUCAAUACGAGGCUUAUCUUACGGGCCUUGCUUGUGCAAGUUGGGAACCUUAUGAGUAACCUCGGUGGGGUAGUAUUGGGCAUCAUGAGCUCUGGGUAUGUGUUCUUUGUCGAGAAUAAUGGAUGUGACCGGAGGACAUUUUUGUGAAAAGAUAGUUGGAUAAUGAGUGAUGGGGCUACCAUAGUGGUUGGGAAAGCUGUUAUAAGUGGGUAGAUAUGGAGAGUAUGGAGUAUCAUCCGGUAUUGUGUUCGAUGUCUGGGUAAGGACAGACUCUACGAAGCUAGGCGGUGGUGGGGGCGGUGCUUUCCCAGUCAUCCAUGCUCGAUACAUAUCUGGCACAUGUCUCAAUAUUUUUACCUCUUCUAGCAACCCGUUGUCCUGUUCAACCAGCUGUUUUCAGGCAUCAGUACCAGCCCACUCAGUUCUGUUGUUUUCUAUCAUUGUCGUAUGCCUUUGUAUUGCAAGAAAGCAUUACUUUUGAACAACAAACCAACCACCUUUCUUGAGUGACAUGCCAAAAUGAAACCAUCAUGUUAGCAUUAGGGCAUUUAACACAUUGGUAAUCACACAUCUGGGGAACGAAUGCACCUAAAUAGUUGAUAAUUUUUAUUUUGCGUCAUCCCGGCCUUUUCCCUGUUCCUAAUUGCAGAAAUUCUCUCUUUUCUUUUCUUCUCUUUUUCCUUCUUCUCUUUUUUCCUCUCUUUUCCUUUUUUCUCUUUUUUAUUUGGUUAUGCUUGAAUCCUAUGUGGAUUGCCUAUGUAUCAUGGUCCCGCAUAAAUCAGACCAAGUGUAGUUCGUUCAAAUAGAAGAUAAACAACAAUAAAAUAUUUUUUUGAUUUUUCAACUUUUCAUAAUAAAACAAACUUGCACUACUAGAAAAUGGGCCUAUGGGAACAGUUAUUUUGGCAACGGUUUGUAAAACGUUGCCAUAGAUAGAUAUAGUAACAAUUAAAACUGUUACAAUAGAAUUUGGGUGGUACCAGCACGCUUCAGACAUCAAACUAUUACAAUUGUAACAAAACCGUUGUCAUAAAUAUUUUUUUCGCAAAGGAUUUGUAAACCGUCCCACUAGACAUAUAUAUGGCAACGGUUGUGGGAGGGAAAAUUGCUAUGGGAACUGUUAGUCAUUCCCUAUAUUUUGUUCGCCGAAAAUUUGCUGGCCCGCCAAGCAAAUUCAAUGACCGGUCAUUUUAUGUUUUUAAUUAAUUUUAGUAACGUAAAUACAAUAAACCCUUCCACCUCUUGCGUAUCUUCAGUACUGUACCUCCCUCAUCAAUAUAUCCUAACUCAGCUCCAACGUCCAUACACCCAAUUCUCUUGAAGGGUAAUAACUUUAUUUAUUUAUCCUCUUUUAUAGGUGGAGUAUAUCAAGAAAUAGAUGAUGAUGAAGAUGAAGAACUAGAACUUACUUGAGAUGAAUUUUGAAUUGUUAUAGAUUAAUUUUCUAGAAAUCUUUUGUUACCAAUAUUUUUGAAACUUAUUUACUCUCUUGAAAUGUACUAAACUUAUGCACUCAUGGGGUAGAACAUUUCCUUUAUUGAUAUUAUUUACUUGAUUUAAUUUUGUAUUAUUAACAAUUUCAUUUUAUGAUGUAUUUAAAUUUUUUUGUUAUUAUAAUUUAUUAUAUGUAUAAAUAUUUAUAUAUAACAGGUGCUAUAUUUUGGUUUUAACUAAACUGAUAUAAUAGCCUAUAGGAACCGUUGCAAUAGGACACAAAUGGCAUUCCAGUAGAAAAAACCGUUGCAAUAGGUCCCAUAAAUUGUUCCAAAUACAAAAAUAACCGUUACGAUAGCCUAAAGAACCCGUUGCUAUAUUCAACAUAACCGUAGCAAUAGCUUAGAAAAGUGUUGCUUAAAAUGAUAUGGUAACGGAUAAGAACCGUUGUAUAAACAAUAUAGUAACGGUUUAAAACCGUUCCAAUUGAAAAAAUUAACCGAUCCAACAGAGAAAGGUACAACCGUUGCGAUAGAUAUAUCUAUUGUCACGGUGAUACAAACCGUUACAAGAACCGUUCCAGUAGACCUAUAGGUAUGCCGGCUGAUGUAACGGGCUUUAAACCAUUCCAAUAUCCCUAUGGCAAUGGUUUGGCAGUCUAUAGGAAUUAUAAACCGUUAGCGUAUACCAAUUUUUCAAUAGUGUUGAUUGCAAAGGUUUAAAAACUGACUAAACAACACACUUUGACGAAAAAGACGACGUACAGACUCGUAAAUCAAACAACACCACAUACUCUAAUUAAAUGAAUUACAAACCCCCAAAACAAACAGACAUAUUUCAUUUCCUAUUUGCCAAUUUCAACCAAAUAGCUAUUUUUGCAAACGUGGCCCCUUCAUUAAUUUUGAGGCCGGGAAGGAUUAUUAUAUGACACUUCACAAACUAGUUCGUUCUUUUACGAAAAUAGCCUUUCGACAACUGAAAGGUACUCUAAGGAUAUCUUAGCAAGAAAGAUUUAAGACACUGCUGAAGAUGGCUCGACUUAUUUUGACCAAAAUUCCAAGCGGUAUUCACUUGACCACAUGCUCUUUUUCUUGUUUUUUUUCAAAUUAAAAUAACAAACUUGAGUUUGCAAGCACGACCUUUCAACACCUCGGCGAUGAGGAUUAUAAAGUUGUGUUGGCUAACCGACCAAAAUCAAAAAAAUAACCAAAGGCGGCUAUUCUUGCAAAAGCAGCCUUCCGGCGUCCUUUUCCGAAACAUUCGACUAUUUCUAACAAGAACGGCUUCACCUGACUUAUUCAUGCCAAAAUUUAAAACUUAGACAUUUUUUAGCUAUUUUUGCAAAGGGGAGGUUGGACCCGAUGAGGGUUGCCUAUGUAUCUCACAUAUGGUAAGAAUCAUACCUGCGUAGCUCGGGCCAAUAAACUAACUACUUUCGAAAACAUGACUCUUUUUUAUUGACAAAUACACUCUUUUUUUCUUUUUCAACAAACUAUUUGAAUAUAAAACUCUUGUUUUUUUUCUUUUUACUGACAAAUAAAACAAUUAAUUUUUUUAAAACAAAUUUUCUUUUUCCUUUUUCCUUUUUUGUUCAUUUUCCUCAAAAAUUCGUCAAAGUUUCAACAGUAUUUGGGUAUUGGUUUUUUUCUAACAUAGGCAAUCAACUCUCUAUACUGUUAUAUCUCUCUUUUUCUCUUUUUUUUUAAUUUUGGAAUAUUCCAAAUAUUCAGAAGCCGGUCAGCAUGCAGGCCCGAAAAAAAUAAAUGCAAAACAAAUAGGAUGUAUCAGGAUGGUGUUUUUCAUUUCAGGUUGCUAGUCCUAGAUGGACCCAACCCCUGUGUUGAGUCCCCUAUGACAAAUGCAAAAUGAUGCAAAUAAGCGUUCCUAAUAGGGAUCUAGUAUGAAGUUAUGUUAAUCUAAGUUCAAAACCUGGGUAUAGGUCGUAGACUGUGUUCCCGAGCUGACAACUCGAGUCUAGGAGGGGGCAACGUACCGGGAACCAAAAGGCCAUCCGGCUUAGUAACUUGUCCGGCCUCUUUCUUAUUUUAGGGUAUUAUACUAACAGAAUAUGGAGUCUCAUCUAGUAAGCACAUCCCUGGAGGUGAGAAGAGAAGGGUGUCGGCACAGUUUAUAUACAGUUCAGAUAAUAUCAAAGCGGUAACAUUUAGCAUAUUUAGCACAAAAUAUGUAGGAAAAUCAGAUAUAACCAAAUACAACAAUUUAUCUAAGCUCGAAUUUUGAACCCUGAUCAAAACGUUCUGGGUUCUUCUCCCCAGCAGAGUUGCUAGAGCUGUCACACCUCCUUGUUCACUACACCCGCAAGGUCAUAAAGGAGUUUUUCCAAUAAAGGGCAAUCAGAACAGGAUUUAUUAUUAAUAUUCAGAGUCGCCACGUAGGAGAUAAAGGGUGUUCCAAGUCACCUGUUGAAUCCCGAACUGAGGAAAUAUGACUAUGUUAACAUUCCGCGAACCAAAAAUUCGUGUAAGGAAUUCUUUUAACCCGGGAGAAGGUGUUAGGCAUUUCCGGGUUUCGUGGUUCUACACGGUCCCUCAACUGUAAUAUUUGAUUUUUCUGAUUUCAAAACUUUUUCUAGCUUAUGUGCUUUUAAUCAUAAAUCGCUUUUAUAUUUAUUUUUAAUGAGAAUUACAACAUCGUGAAAAUACGUCUCAAACCACGUCACAUCAGUGCACGUGUGGUUGUUGACAUAUUUCGACUCCGUUGAGAUUUGAAAUUGGGUCAAAUAAAUGUGCAAUCGGGUUUAUAAAGGUAAUGUUAUUAAAGUGUGCUCCUAAAUAGACUAACGCAUUAUUCUCUUUAGGGAAAGCUGUGAAAUUACCUAAAUGGCCCACCCCGAAUUUUAAGUAUUUUAAUAUAUCUAUUUAUUGAGAGCCCCACAAUUUUGCUUUUUUAUUUGGCGAGGCUCAUCUCAUUUUUACUUAAAGGCCAUCCUUAAAGCAAUCUAUAUUUUCUAUUUUAUUUUGUAUCCAUAACAAAAGAAAGAAGCCUAGUUAAUUAAUAUAGUUGAAAAGGCCCACACCCUUAUUAAUCUAUCUCCAAUCAAUUAGAUCGAACAUCAUGAUAAGUAAAAAAAAGAACAAAGCAUUUUUAACAAUUUAUCUAAAACGGCCCAAAUCAUACAUAGAAGGGGGCAGAGUAUUAUUGGGCAUGUGAUGAUAAUUCCAUGCCCAUGAUAUGCUGGAACUGGAACGAGUAUCUUAAUUAAAGCUGAAGACAUAGAUGUUUGGGCCUGGUGUUCGAGCCCAGUAAAACAAAGUUCCAACGCCAACUUUCAGGUUCAAUUGCGUGAGCAAACACACUGGGCUACAUACACUUGUUCACUAAACUUGGCUAUGGGCAAUUACGUAGGCUACAAAUUCAUUACAGUUGUUCCUAUCUGAAUUUAAUUUCAACAUACGACUUGCGAAACCUCUACUCAAAAUUCCAAUUAACAAAUCAGUUUAUCACUCAAACUAUUUUUGUGUUACUACUAACGCCUAUAUCAUGGCCAUAGGUGACUGCUUUUUUUUUUUUUUUCAAUUAAACGGAAAUGGAAGCACUACUAAAUAAGUGCUCUAGUAAUUCCUGAUUUCAACAAUUAGAUCACUCGGACUAGCACAUUAAGAUACAAGACCAUUUGUCCUGUUUCUCUUGCAAUUACUGAGAAACAAAUCAAGCUACCCUACACUACACUAGUACUACAACUAAGCCAAAUUAAAGUUGCCAACUAUGAAAUCCAUAAGCUCAUCAGAAAGAGUUCAUCAGUCCACAAACUUAAACAGUCCAAAGUUAAUACAGUUUAAUGAGAAAACUAUCAAAUUACAGAAUUCUAUCUAAACGUGAUAGAGCCACUAGGAUCGCAAGUCAAUAGCAGAGGUUAAGCCUCAAUUUUAUUUCAUUUUCCAGUAAGAGAUCUACGUAGUACUGAGUUUUAUGACAAGUACCUCGAAAUAUAAUGAAUAUAAGGGGAAGUUAGCAGCAGAAGAGCAAUCAGCAGCAACAAAAAAACUCAGGAAACAUAAUCAACUACCAAGGAAAGUUUCAAAACCCAGUAGUUGAUCAAUCGACAUAGAAAAUUCAGGAAACAAUUUAAAAAUCCAGUGAUGGAUGGGCACAUCAAUGAUUCCACCACUGUAGCAACCAAAUAAACUCCAAAUUGAACUCAAAGUCUUCCGAAACUUUCUAUCAUACCAUCACUCAACCAAAACCGAUUUAUCUAACCCAAAUUUGCUCAAAAUCAAUCAACAACACCACUGAAACUUCAAAUUACCGAAAAUCAUACUGGAGAAAUGUAAAUCAAUAGCUAAAAAAUGAAAUUCCCCUAGAAUUUCAAUGGAACAGUAAUUUUUUUAGUUUUUUGAGUUUUUGGUUUGUUUUUUAUUUUUGAAAUUUGAAUUUCCACUUCAGAUCUGAUAGAUUAAAGAGAGAGAGCUUUGGGGNNNNNNNNNNNNNNNNNNNNNNNNNNNNNNNNNNNNNNNNNNNNNNNNNNNNNNNNNNNNNNNNNNNNNNNNNNNNNNNNNNNNNNNNNNNNNNNNNNNNNNNNNNNNNNNNNNNNNNNNNNNNNNNNNNNNNNNNNNNNNNNNNNNNNNNNNNNNNNNNNNNNNNNNNNNNNNNNNNNNNNNNNNNNNNNNNNNNNNNNNNNNNNNNNNNNNNNNNNNNNNNNNNNNNNNNNNNNNNNNNNNNNNNNNNNNNNNNNNNNNNNNNNNNNNNNNNNNNNNNNNNNNNNNNNNNNNNNNNNNNNNNNNNNNNNNNNNNNNNNNNNNNNNNNNNNNNNNNNNNNNNNNNNNNNNNNNNNNNNNNNNNNNNNNNNNNNNNNNNNNNNNNNNNNNNNNNNNNNNNNGGGGGAAUAGAUGGCUAAAAACUUGGGAGUGAAGGCAUUGAACACGCCAUUUUAUAGGCAUUAGGGAGGGUAACUCUCAAAUAUUUUGUUUGCCCUUUAGUCCUUCUUUUAUUUUCAAGAUAGUCUUCUACUUCUUCACUUGUGUUUUAAGUUAUCUUAUUACCUUUUCUGAUUUUCUAAAAUGAAUCAUAUUCUAGAAGGAUCUUGGACAUUCUAACUAAACCUAUAGCAUUCCAACCCACUUCAAAUUUCUACACUACCCCUGAACUUCCCUGAAACUACUGUAUUAUCCCAACCCCCUUUUAACCCAUCUGAAAAUAUAAUCAGCUAUAACAAAUAAGCAAACCUACCAAUUAACUAAUUAAUCCCAUUAAAUUAACUCAUAAGUAACACUAGAACACUCAAACUAAAUUUAAACCAAGGUCAGAUUUAUAUCAGACUCCAAACUUAACAGAACAAUAAUAUGACUCAAAUCAUCAAACUCAACAAUAGUUUAAAACUCUAACUCAAAUUAGAUCAAAACAAAGACAAAGGAUUCAAUGAUCAAAACAACAAUUAGAUGGAACUACUAAGGUCAAAUUUUAAACCACGAUUGACACAACUACAUUGGGAAAAAAUCACGAUUCUGAAUUAACCCCCAAAACCAAACGAAUAAACACUGGAUAUGUAAUGAAAGGAAAAUAAACAUAAAUGAAAAACUUACUUAUUUCGGAAUUUAGACAUAGCCUAAUUUUGAAAUGGAUCUUCAAAUAAUGAUAUGUGUUUGCUCUUACCAAGAACAAACACAUAGCAUCAUUCUAAGACCCCUUCAACCACUAGCCGACUCAGGAAACUCGAACAGAUGAAGAUUUCCCAAAACUCCACAAUUUGAACCUUAGAUCCAAAAUUCAGAGAGAUCCGGUGGAAUUCGAAGGAGAUUAGUUGAGGAUUUAGGAAGAGAGAAGUGAGGAGAGUGCGUGGUAUAUUUUUGGGCAGGUUCCGAUGACUUUAGGGUUUUGGCCGAAUAUAUGCAUAAAUAUUAUAUUAGAUUACAAUGAUUCGAGGGAUAUUAUCAUGGAUAUAGAGUGAGGGGAACAAGGAGAGUUAGGGUGUUAUUUUGGGGCGUAUUGGCAGUGGUGACGCCGUAGGCGGCGGAGACAGCAGUGACAAAACCAAAUAUUCGAGCAGAUCAGGCAUGAUAUGAGUUUUGUAAAUUUGGGUCUUGGGAAGAGAAAGUGGCAAGAAAUCCAUAGUGUAAUUUUCAGGCCAUUUGGAGACUUGCCGCUGGUGGAGGCGAUUUUCGGUCGGUGGCGUUAGGGUUGGGUUUCUGAUUUUGUGAGAGAGAUGAUACGGGGGAGUGAGGCUAUCUGACAUUAUUAUACCAAUAAAUGUCCAGUUCUGGGCCAUUGAUUAAGUGAACCUCGACGGCUGAGAUUCAAAGGGGCAAAAUGGCGUCGUUUAUUGAGGGGGAAAGACCGAAGCGGG